RNAcentral lists this ribosomal RNA (253 nucleotides) under uncultured bacterium. Its description in RNAcentral is "partial 16S ribosomal RNA". It matches the Rfam family "Bacterial small subunit ribosomal RNA", at positions 524 to 776 of the family's 1533-position model. The record is from RNAcentral.
UACGAAGGGGGCUAGCGUUGCUCGGAAUUACUGGGCGUAAAGGGCGCGUAGGCGGUUCUGUUAGUCAGGCGUGAAAUUCCUGGGCUUAACCUGGGGACUGCGCUUGAUACUGCGGGACUAGAGGGUGGAAGAGGGUCGUGGAAUUCCCAGUGUAGAGGUGAAAUUCGUAGAUAUUGGGAAGAACACCGGUGGCGAAGGCGGCGACCUGGUCCAUUACUGACGCUGAGGCGCGACAGCGUGGGGAGCAAACAGG